AUUUAAUAGCAGGGGAGCUUGUAGGCAGGCUGAGAGGAAGUAAUCAACUUCGACCCUUUAACCUGAUUUGGAUAAUGCCAACGUAGGGAAUAUAAAAGGAUUCAUUA
Eubacterium sp. CAG:161 is the source of this 107-nucleotide regulatory RNA element. It matches the Rfam family "TPP riboswitch aptamer (THI element)". Rfam says of the family: Vitamin B(1) in its active form thiamin pyrophosphate (TPP) is an essential coenzyme that is synthesised by coupling of pyrimidine and thiazole moieties in bacteria. The previously detected thiamin-regulatory element, thi box was extended, resulting in a new, highly conserved RNA secondary structure, the THI element, which is widely distributed in eubacteria and also occurs in some archaea. Analysis of operon structures identified a large number of new candidate thiamin-regulated genes, mostly transporters, in various prokaryotic organisms. The record is from Rfam. NCBI's taxonomy places the organism in Bacteria, Bacillati, Bacillota, Clostridia, Eubacteriales, Eubacteriaceae.